AUAUAUAUAUAAUCGAUAGCUCACGAAAUUAGAUCCCUUAUCAUACAUGUUAAUUUCAAAGUAAUGCAACCAAAAUCUUAAAUUGAUUUGGGAUAUAAUCUUAUGUGAUUUUCUUAGAAAAUAUUCACAUUUUGGGUGUUUCCCAAUCGGUACCCUCAUUUUUUUUCCCAAAUACUAUCUAUAAUUUAAAAAUACCUAAAAUACCUCAAAAAUUUUCUCAUCAAAAUUUUCAUAUUUUUUUACUAUUUUAAUGUUUUCAUUUGGAACGCUAUAGUAGUUUUAUUAAGAUGUUGAAAAACUCUAAGCUAUAUCUAUUUGGUUAUCAUUACUCGUAAGUCAUUAUAAUAUCAUAUUUUUAUGUUUGUCGUUGGUUUAGUUAAGAUUAGGAGUUUAUUUUUAUCAUUUAUAGUGAUUUGUUGUGAUGAUCAAAAUAUUAUAACAGGCUAAAAAUACUAUAAUAGGCCAAAAUACUAUAUAACAACCGAAAAAAAAUUUGAGAGGUAAUUUGAAAUUUCUUUUGAAUUAAGGGUAUUGUUUGAGAAAAAUCAAAAUAGGGCUAUUGUUUGAGAAAUAUAUAAAACGUGGGUGUAUUUUAGGAAAAUCACCCGAUAAUUUUCAUGCGCAAAUUCGUUACAAGAGAAAACCUAUAAGGAUUCAAAUCGCCCGCCCGCUCUCCCCCUCCCUUCAUGGCUUCAGUUUCAAUCUCCUCCCCGUAUCUCCUAUCCUUCUCCCCGCUCGUCAACAGGGCUUCCUCGGCAGAUUCGGUGGCAGCCAGAGUCGGUCUCCACCUCCUCCUCCACCGGCAAGGGCCCCCAUCUCCAUCGCUGGUUAAUACAUCUUCCACUUCUUUCCCUUUCUGUCUACCUUCUCUGAUCUGCCCAUUAGGUACUUCUCCGCCUUUUCUUUGGUAGUUUCCUUGGUCGAGGGUACCACCUGCUGUGCGAUACUUUUGGAGGCAGCCUCUAUUCUGUAUUUGGCUUCCCACAAUUCUCUAUUACUUCACUUCUCGCUCCUGGUUUAUAGAAUGAUGCAAUCUCAUUGGUGUAUGUAUAUGAACUACAAUUGAGGCUUUCUUUGAAAUUGAUGAAAGUAUAGGCAUUCUAUUAAGAACUAUAUUGGGAAAGUAAGAGUUGCAUUUUCACUCAAAUCUAGCAUAUGCUUCCUUCUUAAAUCAUAACUGUAACUUUCUUGUGUAGGGUUCUGCUGGAAGUCCCAUAUUGCUUGGUUUCCUUUUGUACCAUCAUAACAUAUGCAUAAAUCUCAUGCAGUUUAUUGUCAUUAAUUUGCCUUUUGUCCAUAGCAUCAUAGUAUCACGGAGUUAUAUAGUACAUAAUACAUAAUGUAUUGUUUGUGUAACACUUUUGAUUAGUUCUACAUCAAAAGUGAUAGGAUUAAGAUUGACUUUUAUGAUGAUUCAAUUUAAACAUUUUGGUUAAUGGUUUGGGUCAAAACAAAGUUGAUUGGUUAGUUAACCCAUCAAACCUGGAUCAUGAUAUUUGGUAUCAAAAUCAACUACUAGGAUAAAGUUAGAGGAUUUGUCAUGGCAUUGAGUCAUCAUUGAGUUGUCUCAUAUGCGUCAUGCUUGAGUGGGGGAGAUUAAAAUACCCUUGAUAGUCUCACAUCCAAAGUGAACAAGACUAACAUUGACUUAUAUGGGUCUGAUGAGUAUGUUACUAUUAAUUUUAAUUUAAAUAUUUUGAACAGUGAUAUGAACCAAAUAAAAUUGAUAUAUUGGUUACAAUAAGGGCCCAACUUUGGUUGGUGUCCUUAUUGAUUCUUAUUCUUUUCAAAAUACACAGCCAUAUUAGCUAGACACUUAGUCAUUUUUUGGGUUCUGAGUGGUUGCAUAUCAGACUCAAUGGAGCUUGAACAUUACUUUUAAAAAGCAAUAGCUUUUAAUUGUAUUGGGUUGCCCAGACUCAAUUCCUAAUUGCCUGUUCUUUUCUUUCAAUGAACAUUACUGAAAAGGUUUGCCCAGGUGAGCACACUCUUACGGAAAUAGUGUGAAAGUGAGAAGAUAUUCUUCUUUUCUGUUGCAUGCAAGAGUGACUUUCCAUAUUCUUAUCCUUAUGGUAGUAUGUGCAAAGGAUUUAAACAUCGAUCAAUAUGUUCUGGUCUGUCCAAAUAUAUAUCUUCUUUUUAUAUAACUGUAUCAGCAGUACUUCAAUGAACCAUCCGUGAGGAGACUUGCUUCUGCAACACAGUAUUAUUUCUCUCUAUAUCAGAUGCCUUUCCCUACAAUUUUCUUGGUUGGAUAUGGGAAGCUGUCUGCGUUUUCAGUAGUUCCUAUAUAGUAUUUUAUAUUAUUUGCCUUUUGUCAUCUAACAUGCUGUCAUGCGACUAUAUCUUUACAUUAUGAGGUCGAAGCUCCAUGGAGAUGGCCUGUUGAUGGUGACAGGAAGGUGCUCUCCUCUGCAAGCCAGUAGUACAGUUUCCAGGGGACAAAACAUACCUCUUAAAAGGCAGUAGAAGCAUAACUGUGAAUUCUGAGCUACAUUUGUUGAUAUUGUCUCCAUACUAGUAAGAAAUAGAGAGAAGACUCCACGCUCUUGACACUGUGGCCUCUCGCCCAUUUGUGACCUCCACCACCAUCAGUGUUCGCGUGUCGCGAGGAGACGGUGAAACCAAGUCACAUUGGCCGACCUUUUUCUCUGACGCGUCUCCUCUGCUCCUUUAUUCCCCCCCGACAACAGGUGUCUCUAUUUGCGCCGCAUGAUCCAAGCAACUCAAUCAUGCAGUGUACGGAGGCACCCAAAAGAUCAAAGUAAAGCAACAAAGAUCUGCGUUUUCUCGGAUGAUUGCCUUUAAAUAAAACCGGAGGUUGAUUCUUUUCUGCCGCUGCUACUUGAUCUGUCCUUUGUCUCGCAUGCGAUGCUCCUCCUUCGCAGCGCUUCGUUGCCUCUGCCGAACUCGUCGUGGGUGGCGGCCGCAGCCCAUGAGUUAGCUGUGGGGGUGGGGGAGCUGGUGGUUCCGCCGCUCACGAGGGCCCGCUCGCUGGCCCACCUCAUCACACCUUGCCUCUCCUCCUGCACCAGCGCCUCCUUCGGCGCCUCGCCCUCCGCUUCGUCUCCGUCCGCGAGGCGGCGGCUGGUGCUGCGAGCGAUGUCCGGGGUAGACCAUUCCCCCAGUUUCCGGGCGGCGCCCCUCGCCUCCCGCGGCUUGCCUUCCCCGCUGGAUAUAAAGGAGGUCAUCGAGGCAACUCAUUCGAGUUCCCCUGCUUCUUCUUCCACAUCGGAGCUGGACGAAAGCGGCGUGGUUAGCGAUGCUUGUACCGGUGGUGGUAGGACCUGCAGUGGUGGAAGAGGUAGACGAGGAAGUGGAGGAGGAGGUGGUGGUGCUGAAAAUGAUGGAAGCGGCGGACUCAACCCCUCGGAUUCUAACUAUGGGAACGAUGGAACGGACGCGUACUACCUGCAGAUGAUCGAAGCCGACCCGGGGAAUUCUCUUAUGCUCGGGAAUUAUGCCAAGUUCUUGAAAGAGGUUCGAGGAGACGUGGCCAAAGCGCAGGAGUACUGCGAGCGGGCGAUCCUGGCGAACCCGAGCGACGCCGGCGUGCUCGCACUCUACGCCGAUCUGGUGUGGGAGACUAGCCAUGACGCUCCUCGAGCUGAGACCUACUUCCGCCGAGCCGUCCAAGCUGCUCCCGGCGACUGCUACAUCUUGGCUUCUUAUGCCAGAGUCCUGUGGGACGCCGAGGAGGAAGAAGAGACGGAGUAACAGAGAGCAGCAACCAGUCUCCAGCUGCUUCAUAGAGACCACAGCCUUCGCCUCUCUCCGUCAUGUGGUCUGUCUCUCUCAUGAAGCAACACCUGACUGUAAAUUUUGUGUGAGUGGUGCGAUAGAGGAUGACGAACCAAAGUGGUGGCAGAGCACGAGGUUCCUCCUCAGAGUGCGGGAUCUAUGAGGGGUGAGCCUCGCCGUCCGACACCUUUGGAGCAUGACCCGUAUGUCAUCCUCGAGAUGGGCGAACAAGUUUCUUGAUUCCGAUCACUCUUAUUUUGAAUGCACUAUGAAGGUUAGGAAGGGACGUCGUGAGACAGCUCGACUUCAACACUGUGUCAAGCUGCAAACUUCAAACUGCUCUUUACGCCAACAUAUCCGUGCAACCAUGCUUUAUGCAUCGAAUCCAAGAUUGUCUCUCAUUUGAAUUAUUUUGUAACAGAAUGGACGAUUUAUGUGAAGAAACUUUUUCUAAAUGAUACUCUUAUUUUUAUUUGAUA
This is an RNA transcript of Musa acuminata AAA Group (dessert banana), 4220 nucleotides long. RefSeq lists it as uncharacterized. The record is from RefSeq and is a predicted model, not a curated record. NCBI's taxonomy places the organism in Eukaryota, Viridiplantae, Streptophyta, Magnoliopsida, Zingiberales, Musaceae. The transcript has 5 exons.